GGAAAGGCGGUGCACGGAGCGGGGGUAAGAGGGAGGGGGGUAGGGGUGCUCGGAAUCACUGGGCGUAAAGCGCACGUAGGCGGUUGGCUAAGGCAGGGGGGAAAUCCUGGAGCUCAACUCCAGAACUGCCCUGGAUACUGGCGAACUCGAGUCCGGGAGAGGUGAGUGGAACUGCGAGUGUAGAGGUGAAAUUCGUAGAUAUUCGCAAGAACACCAGUGGCGAAGGCGGCUCACUGGCCCGGUACUGACGCUGAGGUGCGAAAGCGUGGGGAGCAAACAGGAUUAGAUACCCCUGUAGUC
Molecule: ribosomal RNA, 300 nt
Filed under: uncultured Bacillus sp.
Lineage: Bacteria; Bacillati; Bacillota; Bacilli; Caryophanales; Bacillaceae
Description: bacterial SSU rRNA
Rfam family: Bacterial small subunit ribosomal RNA (bases 52-300)
Source: RNAcentral